UAGGAUGUUUAGUGGCGGACGGGUGAGUAACGCGUGAGUAACCUGCCUUGGAGUGGGGAAUAACACAGUGAAAAUUGUGCUAAUACCGCAUAAUGCAUUUGGAUCGCAUGAUUCUGAAUGCCAAAGAUUUAUCGCUCUGAGAUGGACUCGCGUCUGAUUAGCUAGUUGGCGGGGCAACGGCCCACCAAGGCGACGAUCAGUAGCCGGACUGAGAGGUUGGCCGGCCACAUUGGGACUGAGACACGGCCCAGACUCC
Molecule: ribosomal RNA, 256 nt
Filed under: uncultured Eubacteriales bacterium
Lineage: Bacteria; Bacillati; Bacillota; Clostridia; Eubacteriales
Also listed under: 1 other name
Description: uncultured Clostridiales bacterium partial 16S ribosomal RNA
Rfam family: Bacterial small subunit ribosomal RNA
Source: RNAcentral